Molecule: long non-coding RNA, 2435 nt
Filed under: Chlamydomonas reinhardtii
Lineage: Eukaryota; Viridiplantae; Chlorophyta; Chlorophyceae; Chlamydomonadales; Chlamydomonadaceae
Description: long non-coding RNA (CREI_LNC000528)
Source: RNAcentral
UGGUCUAGGCAGUGGCUGUAGUUGUCACCUAGCUGUUGAGAACUCCAGUAGGUGUGUGGUGUCACCUGGCUGUUGAGGUUUCCAGUAGGUGUGUGGUGGAAAAAACUUCUCUUCUCUUCUCUGAUCUCUGGCCCUAUCGAGGUUCUGUGAUAUGAUCCAGGCUGUCUUCAGGCAGCAGGUAAGGAUGAUUCCUCAAAAAACAAGGGCACGUAGACGAGCCACACCCCAAAAAAACAGCCAAGUGCUGCAGGGCUCCCCCGACUGCCACACCCAAAGCACCCUGCUGCACGCGCGGAUGCAAAUGACCAACCACAGAGGUUAAUACGCCACCUGCUCCAAGCUGGUGAAGUGUGGUGCUCGCCGAGAUGUUAAAAUGCCGACAAGCGAAAUGUCGCCAACUCCACGGCGACGCUCCUGAACCGCCAGAAUCCUAUUCCAUAGCGGUGUCGAGUUCCAAAGCACAAGCCGGCAUAGGCUGAAGGGCGCUGGAGAGGGAGAGUCGCGCUACAGCUGCAAAGUGGACUGACAAAAAACGAGCACGCCCACAAAUGCAAACUGCUUCACAGUGGUUCGUAGGCCUUAAGAAGCCUAAAACAAAAGGAAGCAAGUCAAACAGCGCGAGAGAAAUGACGUCGACUGUUUUAAAGCUGUGCAGAAGGAAAGGAGGAUGCAAGAAUAGCAAGAGAAGAGAGUAAAGUAAAGUAAAGUAAAGGGCCGCCGCUGCUUUUUUUUUUGAGGAAUCAUCCUUACAAGGUUGAACAGGGGCAGACGCGCUGCCCCCCUGCUGCCUGAAAGCAGCCUGGUCCCCGAGACCAGAACCCUGACAGGGCAAGAAGAGAAGAAAAGAGAAGAAAACAGAAAACAAAUACCUCAAAAACCGCCGUGGCAGGCCCCGUGCUAGGUCCCGCCCCGCCCGCCGCCUGCUCCUGCAGCCGCGCGGAACGCCGCGGCCCCUCACCCGGGUGCUGGGACGGGGACGCAUAUGACUGCAGUGCUCUCGCCGGCGUGUUCUGCAGCCCGGCUGCCGCGGAGGUGCGGUGGAGCCAGGGGUCCAGAGCCACCGGGUUAUUGUGGAAGUGCUGCGCCGCCGUGGUGGUCAGCUGCGCCGCUGCACGCUGCCACUCCGCCUCCCGCUCCGCCAGCCGCGACUGUGCCGCCAGCUGGGUCCCCGAACCCCCCGCCUGCUGUGCUGGCGCCGGGCACGGCAUGGCUGCGGGGCGGGCCGGAGCCGGAGGUGCGGCCGGGUUGGCCGCACGUCCCGCACCGUGUAGUCCGCCAAGCGGACACCCGCAAUCCGGCAGUGCUCCGGGUGCACCACCACCCCAGCCUCCGGCGCCAGGAAGUACGGCGCCCGAGGCCACGCCCCCGCCCGUUCCCCUGGUGAUGCUGCAUCGUAUGCCGCCCGCUCUUCAAAGGUCCACAGGUGCCGCGGCUUGCGAUGCUGCAGCACACAGGCAGGCUGCCACGCCCCAUCCACCGCCGGGGGCAGCACGCCAGGCCCAGGCUCCAAGAGCCGCCCCGUGUAGUGGACGUAGGACACAGCCCCCGCAGCGUUAGCCACCCACAGCUGGUCCAGGCUAACCCGCCACUGUGGCGGCGCCGCUGGCGGCUGAGUGGCUGGCUGCGGCGGAUGCUGUUCCACGCCCGCGCUCCGCACGUGGCCGACCGCGGCCGCCAGCCGGGCAGGCAGCCCCGCUGGCGCCGGCGCGUCGCUGUACACCCACGCCCACCUGGUGGCAGAGUCCGGGCGCACAUGAGUAAGCAGCGCCCGGGUGAGCGUCUUCCAGGGUUGCCGGCCUGGCUGGGCAAGCAGGGCAAAAGUCUUAGCUUGCAGGGCAGCAGCAUCCACCGCAGCCAGCCACUCAGCCGCCAGCGGCACCGCCACAGUGGCGGGUUAGCCGGGCCGCGCUGCAGCAGGCGACUGGGGACCAGGGGGGGGUCUUCUAAAUGGUUAAGACACUCAAGCCGAUUUCGUUAAGGCUUCAAGAGAUCCUGGGUUCGAAUCCCGGUCACCCCACCAGGAAGGGCCCUGGUUUACCAAAACCCAUCCACACCUUGGUGGUGUGUAGACCCCCCCUGUGGUGCAGGGAGUCUCUGGGGUACGAGGCUGGAGCUCUGGGCCUGCAACUGGAGAGCUUUCAAGUUCAAGAUCCAAGAUUCAAGUGGAGCUCUGGGCCUGUCAACUGGAGAGCUCUAGAUGAUCUGUGUGGUCUAGGCAGUGGCUGUAGUUGUCACCUAGCUGUUGAGAACUCCAGUAGGUGUGUGGUGUCACCUAGCUGUUGAGGUCUCCAGUAGGUGUGUGGUGGAACAAACUUCUCUUCUCUUCUCUGAUCUCUGGCCCUAUCGAGGUUCUGUGAUAUGAUCCAGGCUGCCUUGGCAGUAGGGUGGUAGUGCGUCUACCGCCGCAACCUUGUAAGGAUGACUUUCAAAAAAAA